Non-coding RNA from Oryza glaberrima (African rice), 202 nucleotides. The record is from Rfam. NCBI's taxonomy places the organism in Eukaryota, Viridiplantae, Streptophyta, Magnoliopsida, Poales, Poaceae.
AAAAAGAUAAACUCUGGUUUCCGUGUCUAACAUUUGACCGUCCGUUUUAUUUGAAAAAAUAAAAAAAAUUAAAAAGAUAAGUCACGCAUAAAGUAUCAAUCAUGUUUUAUUAUCUAACAAUAAUGAAAAUAAUAAUUAUAAAAAAUUUUUAUAUAAGACGAACAGUCAAACGUUGGCACGGGAAUCCACAGUUUGUCUUUUU